Homo sapiens (human) is the source of this 1170-nucleotide long non-coding RNA. Ensembl annotates it as long intergenic non-protein coding RNA 861. The record is from Ensembl. NCBI's taxonomy places the organism in Eukaryota, Metazoa, Chordata, Mammalia, Primates, Hominidae.
CAUGGCACUGGCAGGAGCGUCUUUAAUUAUGAACAGUGUGGGCACCAGAAGUCACUUUUGUCACCAUCUGCUGGUUUUGGCAGGUUUCUUUACAGCAUCCUGUUUUUGAUCAGCAAGGUCAUUACCAGUGCUCAGAAAACAAGUUCUACUGAUCUCUCCACUUCAAAACUAGAAAAGAAGCAUGAAAAAGACUUCCUCACAGCCUGCAGAAGGAAUCAACCCUGUCAAUAUCUUUAUUUCAGACUUCUUGCCUCUUAAACUGUAUCCCACUUCUAAGAUGCCUGAUCUGAAGGACAGUAAAACAACUGACCUUUGCCAGCAUGUAAAACACAUGGUUUAACUAGUCCUCCAGGAACAACACUGAGCAAUCCUGACCUGGGACUACUUUACUCGGCCAUCUCCUACUUGAGAUGCUCCUUGUCUCUCUGUUCAAGGACACCUUUUCUGAGCCUUUCUUGAACAAGAGUGGAGGACCGAUAGGGCGAUUAAACUGUCCUUGACACAACUUUAGAGCUUCAACUGAGAAUCUAGAAGAGAGUAGAUGGAAAAAUAUUUUUCCCUCCCCUCCAAAUGCAAGGAUAAUCUUACACGAGUCCAGGAGGAAGGCUCAUUCCACACUAAGUGUUCUGAAUCAAAAAGAUGAACAAAAUACAGUGCCAUUCUUCAAGGACUUCACAGUCUACAGGAAAGGGAUAUAGUUAAACAAAUAACUGCAGAAUUGGAAAUUGGAGCUGAUGUGCUUAGAAGUGUUUUGAACAAGGGGCAUGACUGUGACUCUCUCUGCUUUUGCAAGCUUCAGGAAAACCUUUACUCACAGUUGAAAAUACAGAGCCUCAGGGUGAAGCCCUAACUUCCCACAGCAGAUGGGGUCUAUGAGGAGGAAGAAGUAGACGCAUGGACCAGUCCUGUUAUGAAGACAAGUUUCAUGGUGCUACUCUGUCUCCAUGAGCUCCUAUGGCCCAGAAGCUGGCAUCCUGUGAGUGGUACUACUAGAAGGAAGUGUGGUGUUCCUGCAAUGAAUGAGCACAAGAGUUAAAGAAACUAUUGUGGUGCAGAAAACCACCACUCCACAUAUCCUUGGACACUGAAGCAACCCAUCUGCAAUCAUUGGACUAGGUAUUAGCACAAUCAAAAUAGACAUUUCCUUCCUGAAUAAACCUGAUUAAUGGC